Molecule: unclassified non-coding RNA, 144 nt
Filed under: soil metagenome
Description: partial internal transcribed spacer 1
Source: RNAcentral
CCGAGUUCUAAACUCACAAACCCAUUGUGAACAUACCUAUAUGUUGCUUCGGCGGUCAGCGCGCCCGUAACGGACGGCCCGCCGAAGGCUCCUAAACUCUUGUUUUCCUAGUGACUACUCUGAGUAAAAUCUUGAAAUAAAUCA